RNAcentral lists this ribosomal RNA (750 nucleotides) under Trichococcus pasteurii. Its description in RNAcentral is "bacterial SSU rRNA". It matches the Rfam family "Bacterial small subunit ribosomal RNA", at positions 96 to 829 of the family's 1533-position model. The record is from RNAcentral. Lineage: Bacteria; Bacillati; Bacillota; Bacilli; Lactobacillales; Carnobacteriaceae.
UGGCGGACGGGUGAGUAACACGUGGGUAACCUGCCCAUAAGAGGGGGAUAACAUCCGGAAACGGGUGCUAAUACCGCAUAGUUUUCUUGAUCGCAUGAUCGAGAAAGGAAAGACGGCCUUUGUGCUGUCGCUUAUCGGAUGGACCCGCGGCGUAUUAGUUAGUUGGUGAGGUAAUGGCUCACCAAGACGAUGAUACGUAGCCGACCUGAGAGGGUGAUCGGCCACAUUGGGACUGAGACACGGCCCAAACUCCUACGGGAGGCAGCAGUAGGGAAUCUUCCGCAAUGGACGAAAGUCUGACGGAGCAACGCCGCGUGAGUGAAGAAGGUUUUCGGAUCGUAAAACUCUGUUGUCAGAGAAGAACAAGUUGGAGAGUAACUGCUCCAGCCUUGACGGUAUCUGACCAGAAAGCCACGGCUAACUACGUGCCAGCAGCCGCGGUAAUACGUAGGUGGCAAGCGUUGUCCGGAUUUAUUGGGCGUAAAGCGAGCGCAGGCGGUUCCUUAAGUCUGAUGUGAAAGCCCACGGCUCAACCGUGGAAGGUCAUUGGAAACUGGGGAACUUGAGUGCAGAAGAGGAGAGUGGAAUUCCAUGUGUAGCGGUGAAAUGCGUAGAUAUAUGGAGGAACACCAGUGGCGAAGGCGACUCUCUGGUCUGUAACUGACGCUGAGGCUCGAAAGCGUGGGGAGCAAACAGGAUUAGAUACCCUGGUAGUCCACGCCGUAAACGAUGAGUGCUAAGUGUUGGAGG